AGAAGUUUGGCCACACAAUUGUUUCUAUGGUGACAAAGCCCACUUAGCAGCAUGUUGUACAAAUAGACUUUUCCUCUGAGGUCAUAAUAUAUAGUCUCUAUGGUGACACAGAUGCAUACAUUGACUUUCAGGCUUACUCUUGGGUCAUCAGAUAUCUGGACAUGAACUGAGAUGUGGCUAUCUUUCCCUUUUUUCCUAUAUCAGAAAUGGGAGAAGACUUUUCUUACAAUCAGCUACCCGAGUUACUUGAGAAAUUUGGUACAAGACUUCUGUGUCUAGAAAUUACAUAAGAGAUAAGAAGUAAUAUAUCUGAUGGACCACUGAUUUAGAAGACAUUGAGGAAUACUGUACUAAGGAUCUCAUCUGUCUUUGGCGUUAGUAACACAAUUCUAACACUUAAAGGCCUAACUAGUGGAUAUUCCAGCUUGACUUCAAGGACUUCUGUAUCUAUCUUCUUGGCAUUUGGACUGUUGGCUUUGAUGGUUUACUCAUUUCUGUUGGUUGUGUGGACUGAGCUUCUAAUAAACCAGGUGUGUUUAUGACAGGGAAUUGCUUUGAAAAAGAAAUACAUGUGUAUAGCAAUGCAUGCAUUUUGAAUUAAAUGUUACUUUUACUUGCAAGACCAUUUUGUAGAACUUUAUGCUCAUGCAUGGUUGUGUGUCAGUAAGCGAAUUUCCCAAGUCAAAACUACACCUCUCCCUUGCAGAAUAAACAAAUUAUGGAAAUACUUUUAAUUGCAAAAUGC
This is a long non-coding RNA of Anolis carolinensis (green anole), 745 nucleotides long. RefSeq lists it as uncharacterized. NCBI's taxonomy places the organism in Eukaryota, Metazoa, Chordata, Lepidosauria, Squamata, Anolidae. The transcript has 3 exons. The record is from RefSeq and is a predicted model, not a curated record.